AGAGUUUGAUCAUGGCUCAGGAUGAACGCUGGCGGCGUGCCUAACACAUGCAAGUCGAACGAGAAGCUGACUUCUGAUUCCUUCGGGAUGAUGAGGUUAGCGGAAAGUGGCGAACGGGUGAGUAACGCGUGGGUAAUCUACCCUGUAAGUGGGGGAUAACCCUCCGAAAGGAGGGCUAAUACCGCAUAAGGUCUUCUCCUCUAAAAGAGAAGAAGAUUAAAGAUGGCCUCUAUACUAUGCUAUCACUUCAGGAUGAGCCUGCGUCCUAUUAGUUAGUUGGUGGGGUAAUGGCCUACCAAGACCACAAUGGGUAGCCGGUCUGAGAGGAUGUACGGCCACACUGGGACUGAGAUACGGCCCAGACUCCUACGGGAGGCAGC
This 380-nucleotide ribosomal RNA is filed under the name uncultured bacterium. RNAcentral's name for it is "bacterial SSU rRNA". It matches the Rfam family "Bacterial small subunit ribosomal RNA", at positions 8 to 352 of the family's 1533-position model. The record is from RNAcentral.